This 468-nucleotide ribosomal RNA is filed under the name uncultured bacterium. Its description in RNAcentral is "partial 16S ribosomal RNA". It matches the Rfam family "Bacterial small subunit ribosomal RNA", at positions 28 to 507 of the family's 1533-position model. The record is from RNAcentral.
GACGAACGCUGGCGGCGUGCUUAACACAUGCAAGUCGAACGGAAAGGCCCUGCUUUUGUGGGGUGCUCGAGUGGCGAACGGGUGAGUAACACGUGAGUAACCUGCCCUUGACUUUGGGAUAACUUCAGGAAACUGGGGCUAAUACCGGAUAGGAGCUCCUGCUGCAUGGUGGGGGUUGGAAAGUUUCGGCGGUUGGGGAUGGACUCGCGGCUUAUCAGCUUGUUGGUGGGGUAGUGGCUUACCAAGGCUUUGACGGGUAGCCGGCCUGAGAGGGUGACCGGCCACAGUGGGUCUGAGAUACGGCCAAGACUCCAACGUGAGGCAGCAGAGGGGAAUAUUGCAGCAUGGGAGGAAGCCUGAUGCAGCAACGCCGCGUGCGGGAUGACGGCCCUCGGGGUGUAAAACGCUUUCGCCUGUGACGAAGCGUGAGUGACGGUAAUGGGUAAAGAAGCACCGGCUAACUACGUG